ACUGGUCCCUCGGGUGCGUUGUGACCUCUGCGCUCCCCUCGCUCACGGAGGCGUGGCGUGACGUGGCCUGGUGGUGGUGGUGGUGUCGGGCAUGUGUGCAGGGCUGCCGAAGUCGCGCGAAGGCCACAUAUAUACACACACAAGCAUACAUACAAUGAAGCGUCCAUCAAACGGCCAAGCCGUGCUUGGCGACGAGAGGCCGGCGGCCUACGUGAAAGGGGAAGGGGUGAUCUCAGAGCUUGUAUCUCUCUCCUCUGCCCUCUCCGGCUGUCUGUUUGAACAGUGUAUUGGAUCAUGCAACCGGUGGGGUGUGUGUGCGUGUGUUCGUGUUGGCCACGGAUUCAAGCCAAAGUGUUCACCGGCAGAGAUGUGGGUGGGUCAGUGGCGUACGGCCCCCAGCGUUGCCUCAACCGCCUCCCACUGGCACGCGCCCCCGCGCAUGUCCAAGACCCCCCCUCUUGUCGUCCCUCUUUCUGGUUUCUGUCGCUGGACACGCACGCACCUGCUUCUCCUCUCUCCCCGCUUGACCUGCUCUUCCUUCCGCCACGUAUCGAGCGCUGCCUUGUCCAUUUCUUCAACGCGCGCACACACAAACAG
RNAcentral lists this unclassified non-coding RNA (597 nucleotides) under Leishmania donovani. RNAcentral describes it as "gene:unknown". Lineage: Eukaryota; Euglenozoa; Kinetoplastea; Trypanosomatida; Trypanosomatidae. The record is from RNAcentral.